This 1405-nucleotide long non-coding RNA is filed under the name Cavia porcellus (domestic guinea pig). RNAcentral's name for it is "lncRNA (ENSCPOG00000031043.1)". Lineage: Eukaryota; Metazoa; Chordata; Mammalia; Rodentia; Caviidae. The record is from RNAcentral.
CUAAAAAAAAAAAAAAAAAAAAAAAAACCUGUGCUGUUGGGAGAUUUUACCUUUUUAUAAGAGAGUAACACUCAAAGUCAGGCGGUAGCACCCAGGUGGACAUCGCUGGCAAACUACUUACCCUCUUUGAUCAGAAACUGGGAAUAUUAUUGCACGUGAGAGGCACCCGAAUUUUGUGCAAUUACCUAUUCAAUGUGCCCUCCUUGUAGAAGGGCCUCUAUGCAUUUUCGCUUUUUUGUCUUAUUUUUAUUGUUUAGAAGGCCUGAAAAGAUGACAACAUCAUCCUACAAAUAUUUCUAGGUUUCUUCCUUUCCUCCAAAAGCUUCAGUCGCAUUGCAUUUCUUCCCUUAGUACCAUGGAGACAUAUUUCAAGGCCUCUUUAGGGGGAAGCGCGUUCUGUCAUUUGUUUCCUAACUUGACAUAAAACAUCGAAACACAGCCACGCUGCAAACCACCGACCAGCCUCACUCGCCGGGGAGGGGAGGACGCGGCAGCGCGGGGCGCGCACCGGGCCUUUUUUCGGAGGAGACCGUGGCGCCCUUCCACCUCCACCGUGCCCGGGGCCCUCGCCUCCCGGACGGUGUCUCCAGCAGCUCCAAGACGUCGGGAGCGGCGCGGGGCUCCAGGCGGCCGGGGCGCGCUGCGCUGAUUGGCAGAGCGGGCGCCGCCGUCCAGGAAACGGCUCGGAUUUCAGCGGGGGCGUGACCCGCCGGAGGAGGCGGCGGCGGCGGCCGCGAGAGCGCCUCGGAGAGCCGAGCGGGCGGGUGGCGGGUGCGGAGCGGCGGGGGAGCGAGUGCGCGCGGCCGCCACAAAGCUCGGGCGCCGCGGGGCUGCCUGCGCCGUACCUGGCCCGGCGCGGCGACUCCUCUCCGGGCUGGCGGGGCUCGGUCGCGAGACCCCGGGCCCCGAGGCCGCAGCUCUCCAGCGCACUGUGAACGUUCCCAACUUGCGAGCAAAGUUUGGAGGAGGAAGCGCCAAGCCCGAGUUCUUUCUUCCUCUCGCUCCCCAAACCCGAGGGCAGCCCGCGGCGUCAUGCCCGCGCGCCCCCGCAGCCGGGGGUGCAUGUGAAGCCUCGGAGUCUUUGCGCCGGCCAGGAUCCCAAGACCACUUUCUGGAGUCCCUCCCCGAGCUCGUCGCUUGCUCCAUCCCGACUCACUGCAGGCUCCAGGACAGCGUAGAUCGCGGAGGAGCGUUGCCAUUCAAGCGCCUGGGCCGCGUUGGGGAAUCGGCCGAGGGCCUUGCGUGGCGCUAGCUCCGACACUCAUGGCCAGGGAGGCAGAAGCAGGAGGCAGCCGGGGGGCGAGGAGUUUCCACCGCUCAGCUCGCCGCCUGCUUCCCUCCAAACUCUUCCCGAAGAUCUUCCGUCCUCUCGCCAGCUCAAUAAAAUCUAUUCUUAAAGACGAAC